This 287-nucleotide long non-coding RNA is filed under the name Mytilus galloprovincialis (Mediterranean mussel). The record is from RNAcentral. Lineage: Eukaryota; Metazoa; Mollusca; Bivalvia; Mytilida; Mytilidae.
UAUUAUUUUCAUAAUUAGGUCUUUCCACUUUUCUGUGGAAAGACCUAUUGUUUUUCUUCUGAUUAUUUUUUUUUUUUCUCUCCGCCUAAUUUUGUUCUUGCGAUAAACAUUUGUUUCGCAAUAUGUCGCUUAGAUAUUUUGUAUAUGAUAUCGAACAGUUUAUGGGCUUUUGAAAUUUACCCUGCGUAAACGAAUACUUUUCUUUGUAGGAGUUAUCUCCCCAAACACUGUUUUCCUUGUUAUGGCAUCUCCUUCGCAACCGUUAAAGAUUAUGACAAAUUUAUUUU